RNAcentral lists this ribosomal RNA (488 nucleotides) under uncultured bacterium. Its description in RNAcentral is "partial 16S ribosomal RNA". It matches the Rfam family "Bacterial small subunit ribosomal RNA", at positions 28 to 507 of the family's 1533-position model. The record is from RNAcentral.
GGUGAACGCUAGCGGCAGGCUUAACACAUGCAAGUCGGGGGGCAGCAUAAUGGAUAGCAAUAUCUAUGGUGGCGACCGGCGCACGGGUGCGUAACGCGUAUGCAACCUACCUUUAACAGGGGGAUAACACUGAGAAAUUGGUACUAAUACCCCAUAAUAUCAUAGAAGGCAUCUUUUAUGGUUGAAAAUUCCGAUGGUUAGAGAUGGGCAUGCGUUGUAUUAGCUAGUUGGUGGGGUAACGGCUCACCAAGGCGACGAUACAUAGGGGGACUGAGAGGUUAACCCCCCACACUGGUACUGAGACACGGACCAGACUCCUACGGGAGGCAGCAGUGAGGAAUAUUGGUCAAUGGACGCAAGUCUGAACCAGCCAUGCCGCGUGCAGGAUGACGGCGCUAUGAGUUGCAAACUGCUUUUGUACGAGGGUAAACGCAGAUACGUGUAUCUGUCUGAAAGUAUCGUACGAAUAAGGAUCGGCUAACUCCGUG